RNAcentral lists this ribosomal RNA (753 nucleotides) under uncultured archaeon. Its description in RNAcentral is "bacterial SSU rRNA". It matches the Rfam family "Archaeal small subunit ribosomal RNA", at positions 102 to 856 of the family's 1478-position model. The record is from RNAcentral.
GGAUAACCUGCCCUCAGGUCCGGCAUAACCUCGGGAAACUGAGGAUAAUUCCGGAUAUCCCUUUUCUGCUGGAAACGCUUAAAGGGACAAAGAAUUUCGCCUGAGGAUGGGUCUGCGGCCUAUCAGGUUGUAGAGGGUGUAACGUACCCUCUAGCCGACAACGGGUACGGGUUGUGAGAGCAAGAGCCCGGAGAUGGAUUCUGAGACAUGAAUCCAGGCCCUACGGGGCGCAGCAGGCGCGAAAACUUUACAAUGCAGGAAACUGUGAUAAGGAGACACCGAGUGCUCGCAUCAAAUGCGGGCUGUCCGCAUACUUAAAUCGUAUGCGUUAGCAAGGGCCGGGCAAGACCGGUGCCAGCCGCCGCGGUAAUACCGGUGGCCCGAGUGGUAGCCGCUUUUAUUGGGUCUAAAGGGUCCGUAGCCGGUUCGGUCAGUCCAUUGGGAAAUCCGGAUGCUCAACAUCCGGGCUUUCAGUGGAUACUUCCGGACUUGGGAUCGGGGGAGGUAAGAGGUACUACAGGGGUAGGAGUGAAAUCUUGUAAUCCUUGUGGGACCACCUGUGGCGAAGGCGUCUUACCAAAACGAGUCCGACGGUGAGGGACGAAAGCUGGGGGCACGAACCGGAUUAGAUACCCGGGUAGUCCCAGCCGUAAACGAUGCUCGCUAGGUGUCAGGCAUGGCGUGACUGUGUCUGGUGCCGAAGGGAAGCCGUGAAGCGAGCCACCUGGGAAGUACGGCCGCAAGGCUGAAACU